RNAcentral lists this ribosomal RNA (506 nucleotides) under uncultured bacterium. RNAcentral's name for it is "bacterial SSU rRNA". It matches the Rfam family "Bacterial small subunit ribosomal RNA", at positions 28 to 517 of the family's 1533-position model. The record is from RNAcentral.
GACGAACGCUGGCGGCGUGCCUAAUACAUGCAAGUCGAGCGGACCAAAGGGAGCUUGCUCCUGGAGGUCAGCGGCGAACGGGUGAGUAACACGUGGGCAACCUGCCUGUAAGACUGGGAUAACAUCGAGAAAUCGGUGCUAAUACCGGAUAAUAAAAAGAACUGCAUGGUUCUUUUUGAAAGAUGGUUUCGGCUAUCACUUACAGAUGGGCCGCGGCGCAUUAGCUAGUUGGUGAGGCAACGGCUCACCAAGGCAACGAUGCGUAGCCGACCUGAGAGGGUGAUCGGCCACACUGGGACUGAGACACGGCCCAGACUCCUACGGGAGGCAGCAAUAGGGAAUCUUCCGCAAUGGACGAAAAGUCUGACGGAGCAACGCCGCGUGAGUGAUGAAGGUUUUCGGAUCGUAAAACUCUGUUGUUAGGGAAGAACAAGUGCCGUUCGAAAGGGACGGCACCUUGACGGUACCUAACGAGAAAGCCACGGCUAACUACGUGCCAGCAGCCG